UUCGGUUAAGUUAUGAAGGGCGCACGGUGGAUGCCUUGGCACUAGGAGCCGAUGAAGGACGGGACUAACACCGAUAUGCU
RNAcentral lists this ribosomal RNA (80 nucleotides) under Bacillus sp. MKU004. RNAcentral describes it as "partial 23S ribosomal RNA". It matches the Rfam family "Bacterial large subunit ribosomal RNA", at positions 1 to 77 of the family's 2925-position model. Lineage: Bacteria; Bacillati; Bacillota; Bacilli; Caryophanales; Bacillaceae. The record is from RNAcentral.